GGAGGAGUGGGUCCGGCGUAGCUAUUGGGAGAUCUCGCUCGUACACAUGGCGCUACAUAGAAAGAAUGCCCUGAGGUGAAGGUGACAGCUCGGCAGUUUCUUAAUACCCUGAACUUGAGCGUGGCCUGCGCUAGAGAAAAUACACGGUGCUUCUUAAAAACAAAAGCCAGCAGCCUGCAAGAGGGCUGUGCCUGCGAGUUCCUGGGAGCAGGAGGGGGCUGUUCCUCCGCCCCUGGCUCCAGUUUCACCCAAGUCACUUCACAGCAGUUGGAAGGAGGUCACCAAUUGUUGAGUGUAGGCGGGGGGCGGGGAGGGAGAGGAAGAGGGAUGAAAAGGGAAGGCCCGGGUCAGCUGGGAGAGGAGCUCGCGGGCUUUCCGGCGGGCUGGCCUGAAGUGGAAGGGCCCAGGGCUGCCUGCCACCCUCAGAUGCCACGCAGGUGUUGGGAGGGCACCCGUCUGUGGGCUCAGGGACGUGUUCCCACCGACAGGCACAGAACGGAAAGCACCUUGGGGGAGACGCCCUUCUCCCCAUCUCAGGAGGGAGGCCGGGCCUGCAGACCUCCAGCCCUUCCCCAGCGCUCGCUGUGAGCUCCCCCCCCCCACCCGCCCCCCACGUGCUGGGGAGCAGGUCCGUUUCCCCACCAGUUUGCCUCUGGUCUUUGUGUUUGCUCUGAGGCCAGGCGCGCCCCCUGCUGCAGGCCUGGGCUCCUGUGUGGAGUUCUCCUUUCAGAUGUUGCUAAAAUGUCUUGAAAGGCUGCGGCCACACCAACAGACGUCGUCCGGCCUUCUUCACACGCAACGAAGCGCCCAGGUGGAAAUGCAUGUACCCGCGGCAGCUUCUCGGCAGCGGGCUUCCUGGGACGGAAGACACAGGCUCGCCCGAGGGAGACGGAAGCAGGGGAUCUGCUAGAACUCAGCUCGCCUCCUCCUUUCUCAGCAGGGCAGAGAAUCAUGGGCUUGUGCUGACGAAAGCUCCAGAAAAUGGACUCAUUUAACCUUUCCAAAGAUAUUAUCCAAGCUGCAAAAUCUUGGCAAUCUGAAGACCUUUUAAGUCGAUAUACCAAAGAGCUUUAGUCAGGAUUGAAUGCAAAAUGCCAAAAUUUCACUUUUAAAAUCAUCGUAACAUCUAAAUACAACCUAAGCACACUUGUAAACUGAUGCCGAACAGGCACUUGGAGAGCCCUCCCUGCACCCCUUCCUCGCCCCCUCCUUUGUGCAAAUGCUGUUUGCCCAGAACUUCAGCCACUGAAAAUCCUGGGAACUUUCUCUUCCUGGCUGCCAACCUAGCAGUUUGGACUCACAGACGAGAUUUUUAAAUCACUGAGGGAUUUAAGCCUCUCUGUGUCACAGAAAAGCGAACACCCUCCCAGUUGAAGGUGGCCCCAAAGAUGCGGGCCUGGGACCCAGGACUUCUGCAGGAGAGUGGACGCCUGGGUGCCCCCCGCCUUGCCCUGCACAUGUAAAAAUACUCGACUGCAAGACUAUGAGUGUGCAGAUAAUUCUGCUGCUUACUCCGAUUGGAGGUGUCUCCAGGGAGUUUCCAAGCACAGGAAGCAUUCCUGCUCUGAGGUUUCGGAAGAACACUUUCAGCAGGAUUUUGGGUCACUGAAAUGAAAGUGAACUAUGCUCUGUACAAAUGUAUCAUGUUUAAUUCAGGAGAAAUUCAUGCAUUUCUUUGUUCUAUAAAUAUUUACUGGCAGCUCGUUUUGUAUAGGAGGCUGCCACCUCCCAAAAGCCCCCUGCUCCUCGAGUGGGUUGAGCCUGAAACCCCACAUCCACAGACGUGCCCAGCGGCCUUGGGUGCUCAACACAGGCUCGUUCAGAAUAACAGAGUACACCAGUCAUCAUAAGAAGAAAAAUUCACAUUUAAAGUUUGGAAAGCAACAGGACAAAGGUCUGUCUUCAGUGGUGCGUAGACAUGCUCGUGAUUGAAUUGGAAAUAGUUCUCUUUCCUUCUCUCUGACUUCCUAACUGAAAAGCUGCAGCGUGGGGAGAAAGGCUGCUCAGAAGCCUGGAGCCAGAACACGCACCCCGGCUUUUGCAGGGCCGGCUCACUUGGUUAGAAUCAAAGGAAAAGCCUUGUUAUUUGGGAAGCUGGGCGUCCUCACCAAAUUAGGGGAUUUAAUUUGCAGAUAUCUAAGGAGUGCUUUGAAAUGAAAGAUGAACUAAAAUCUGCUCUGAGGCCCGUGAUUUUUCACCAGUGAAGGACUCUCUUGCUGCUGGACAUACAUGAAAAGCAUCAUCUGAUCUGAAACGCAAGUCCCUGCAAGACAGAGGAGAGACUUUAUAAACAUUUUAUACCAUUCUAUGAAAUCAAUUCGAUUCAGGGCUAGAAUUCAAGAAGUAAUCCAUGGGCAAGUAUAUCUGAUGGUAAACCCAAACGAUUAUAUUGUUAACCUCUUGUACUUUUUUUAAUUUUUUAUUAUUUGAUAUUAUUAUCACAAAAGUCGCUGGAACAGGAUCCAUGAGCUGCUUCUUCACUGCUUAGUGUUUUCAGAAGCUGAUGGAUUAUUAAGCUCCAAUUGAAUACUUGAUUUCCAAUGAUUCCAUUAAUUUUUCUGGUUUGUGGUAGGAUUUGAUUUACUUAUUUUGUACUUUAACACACCAAUAAAAAAUAGAUACUAAGAAAUAGUGAAAUUUGUUGCUUCAAAAUAACCCUUAAAAUUUAGAGUUUAGUGAAAUUAAGCAAUUCAAAUAGAGAAACGAUUAUCCUUCAUUUCCUUAAGGCACAGAAAUUGAGACUAGGUUCAAGAACCUUCAUAUUUUAAAAACUGGAAAAUACUGGCUAAGUGAGGACUGGGCGGUCAUCCUCCACACAUGCUCUGUGUGCUUGGAGCGAAGAGGGGAACGCACUGAAUGAGAUGAACUGGAAGGAGGUGCAGCAGCGAAGGAAAUCCUUCUGUUGGGAGAGUUCACGUGUUUAGGAUAAUCCUUCGAAUAGGACGCAACAGUGAUGUGAGGAGAAGCUUUGGAGCUGAUUUAGAUUGAGACAGUCUAUCACAGGCUGUUUGGUUGCAUCCCUUUGGGGCCAGUCUCAUUUUAGGUCUAAAUAUGCAGGAAUGGGGCUCUGGCUUCCAGAAGUUUCAGGCUGCAAAAGGCUGGGGCCACCAUCUUUACAGAUAAUCCAUUAGUUUGAUUCUCUUGGGGGCCAGGAAGAAAACCAAGAACACUCAAUGGACUAUGGGACUCAAAUAAUCCACAGGAGGCGUUUGUAAAGGGGCAAAACUGUGUGUGCCCAGUAAUUCUUGGAGCUCGCAAUAGAGGUGGAGAAGCAGUGAUGGGCCCCACAGCAGCAGGGGCUUGGGAAUGACGGAAAAGAACAAAAUGAUGGAAGGACAGCUGGAAGAAACAGGGAAGCUUCCUUUUAACUGGAUGCUGGGUCUCAGCCUUGAAUAGUUCCUGGCCUUCGGAGGCCUUUUCUCAGGGAGCAUGGCCUGGGGACUCCCUGCUUGCUCUGCUGAGCUUUCAGGGAAGGAGAAAUGGGCAAGGCCAGAGGCGACCAUCAGGUGCUCCGUAGGCACAGAGGCAGAACUCAAGGUUUAGCUUUACCUUAAGAGGGUGACUGCAAAGUGUGCUCCCUGGACCAGGGGCCUCGGCCUCACCUGGGAGCUUGCUAAAAAUGCAAGUUGCUCUCACCCAGACUGAAUCUAAAAUUCUGGGUACAGCCCAGCAAUCUCUGCUCACACUUUCUCCAGAUGAUUCUGGUGCAAGCUAACCUUUCAAAAGUCCUGGGUCCCAUUCCCAGAGGCUGUGAUUAAGUUGGUCUAGGGCUGUGGCCUAGACCUGGGGAUUUUGGAAGCCCACAGGUGAUUCUGUUGUGCAGCCAUGGUUGGCAGGCUGUUCACGGUGCUGUUCAACAGGUCCUGCUGUGGGAUGGAAAGGGUCUGUAUCUGCACUGGCCAAUGUGGGAGCCAGCCCUGUGGCUAUUGAGCACUUGGCCCCUGGCUAGUGCAACUGAGGAGCUGAAUUUUUCAUUUCAUUUACUUUUAAUUAAGUUUAAAUAGCUAAAUGUGGCUAUUGUCUGCCUUAUUGGAUAGCAGAGUUCUAGAACCACAGAUAAAUGUAAUACUGUCCCUUUAGUUGAUUUAAAAAUCCAAUGCCUCUGUAAUCCUAGCACUUUGGGAGGCCAAGGUGGGCUGAUCACGAGGUCAAGAGAUCGAGACCAUUCUUGCCAACAUGGUGAAACCCCGUCUCUACUAAAAAUACAAAAAUUAGCCGGGCAUGGUGGCAGGCACCUGUAAUCCCAGCUACUCGGGAGGCUGAGGCAGGAGAAUCACUUGAACCCACGAGGCGGAGCUUGCAGUGAGCCAAGAUUGCACCACUGCACUCCAGCCUGGUGACAGACGGAGAUUCUGUCUCAAAAAAAAAUGCCUCACAGAGUUAAAUAUUUAAGUUGAUAAGAAAAAUGGUAGUCGAGUCUUUGAGGAUUAUUUUAAAAUCCACUUUUGGUGAUAAAUAGAUAAAAACAGUGUGGUAGGGCCCAGAAGUUCUUCCUGAUUUCUACCUGUUGGAGCUGAAUUCCUCAAUUUUACUUGUAGGAGAACGGCUUCCUAAAGGGCACCUUACCCAGCCAUUCCUGCAUGCAAGUGUGUAUGAGAACUGCAGGGGGCAUUAUAUGAAAAUCCAAUUCCUGGGCUCUAUCCCAGAUGUUCCUAUCCAAUAGGUCUGGGUUGGGGCCCUGGAAACUGCAUUUUUGGCAAACCCCUUACUGAUUUGGAUGCACAAGUUUCAAGGAACAGGCACUAAGGAUCGCUGAUGUAGAAUCUGUUUGUCCAUCCAGGAAAGCCAGAGUCACCACACUUGAGUAAAUGGGUUUUGAUGUAGGAAAGGUCUUUAUAAUUCUUUCAUGAAUUCACCAAACUUUAAAAACUGUACUAUUUUUGGCUGGGCUUGGUGGCUCACGCCUGUAAUCUCAGCACUUUGGGGGCCAAGGCGGGUGGAUCAUGAGGUCAGGAGAUCGAGACCAUCCUGGCUAACACGGUGAAAACCUGUCUCUACGAAAAAUACAAAAAAAAAAAAUUAGCCGGGCGUGGUGGCGGGUGCCUGUAGUCCCAGCUACUCAGGAGGCUGAGGCAGGAGAAUGGCGUGAACCC
This 5093-nucleotide long non-coding RNA is filed under the name Homo sapiens (human). RNAcentral describes it as "HSALNT0253393". Lineage: Eukaryota; Metazoa; Chordata; Mammalia; Primates; Hominidae. The record is from RNAcentral.